RNAcentral lists this microRNA (22 nucleotides) under Ornithorhynchus anatinus (platypus). RNAcentral's name for it is "Oan-Mir-1421-P31c_3p* (star (passenger))". Lineage: Eukaryota; Metazoa; Chordata; Mammalia; Monotremata; Ornithorhynchidae. The record is from RNAcentral.
UGCGAAGUGUUCGACCUCCCCU